This 68-nucleotide transfer RNA is filed under the name Mesorhizobium sp. RNAcentral describes it as "tRNA-Pro". The record is from RNAcentral. Lineage: Bacteria; Pseudomonadati; Pseudomonadota; Alphaproteobacteria; Hyphomicrobiales; Phyllobacteriaceae.
CGUUGUUAGCCGAUGGCACUUGACUGGGGGUCAAGGGGUCGUCGGUUCGAAUCCGGCCACUCCGACCA